CAAUAGCGUAUAUUAAAGUUGUUGCAGUUAAAAAGCUCGUAGUUGGAUUUCUGGUCGGAAGCUCCUGUCCUCUGAUGAGCGUACAAGUGCGUCCUACCAUCCUUCUGUUAACCUUUAAGGCUUUCGCGGCUUUCUAGGGGCUCAGAUAUUUUACCUUGAGAAAAUUAGAGUAUUUCAGGCAGGCUAGCGCCGGAAUACAUUAGCAUGGAAUAAUGGAAUAGGACUUUUGCCUCUUCUGUUGGUCAUGAGGCUCGAGUAAUGAUUAAUAGGGAUAGUUGGGGGCAUUAGUACUUAACUGUCAGAGGUGAAAUUCUCGGAUUUGUUAAAGACUAACUUAUGCGAAAGCAUUUGCCAAGGAUGUUUUCAUUA
This 369-nucleotide ribosomal RNA is filed under the name uncultured eukaryote. RNAcentral's name for it is "partial 18S ribosomal RNA". It matches the Rfam family "Eukaryotic small subunit ribosomal RNA", at positions 592 to 975 of the family's 1831-position model. The record is from RNAcentral.